RNAcentral lists this unclassified non-coding RNA (306 nucleotides) under plant metagenome. Its description in RNAcentral is "partial contains 5.8S ribosomal RNA, internal transcribed spacer 2, and large subunit ribosomal RNA". The stretch from base 1 to 105 matches the Rfam family "5.8S ribosomal RNA", at positions 50 to 154 of the family's 154-position model. The record is from RNAcentral.
GAAAUGCGAUAAGUAAUGUGAAUUGCAGAAUUCAGUGAAUCAUCGAAUCUUUGAACGCACAUUGCGCCCGCCAGUAUUCUGGCGGGCAUGCCUGUCCGAGCGUCAUUUCAACCAUUAAGCCCCCGGGCUUGUGUUGGGGACCUGCGGCUGCCCGCAGGCCCUGAAAACCAGUGGCGGGCUCGCUGUCACACCGAGCGUAGUAGCAAUCACCUCGCUCAGGGCGUGCUGCGGGUUCCGGCCGUUAAACAGCCUUACAAAACCCAAGGUUGACCUCGGAUCAGGUAGGAAGACCCGCUGAACUUAAGC